AUGAAUGUGUUGCGGUUGGAAUCACGCAUGGACAACGAUGUUGCUUAUCUUGCCCGACUGAAGGCGGCGAUGACUCGGGUUGAUGCUGAACUCUGGCCUCAGGUGGAACUCUCACAAGACCUCGAGUCUGUGAUGGCUCGACUGAAUCAAAUACCUGACCGAGUGCAAGAAUGGAAGAAAUCAUCUGCUCGCUGUGGCGCUGACGUCUCCCUGUCAUUGGUCCGAGUGCACUGCAAGGAUGUCAGAAAAGACAAGCUGGCGAAACUCAAGGUUGUGAACACCAAAAAGCACACUUUCUAG
RNAcentral lists this ribosomal RNA (300 nucleotides) under Triticum aestivum (bread wheat). RNAcentral's name for it is "partial small subunit ribosomal RNA". Lineage: Eukaryota; Viridiplantae; Streptophyta; Magnoliopsida; Poales; Poaceae. The record is from RNAcentral.